CCUUCUCUAAUAAUAACUUUUAGCUGUUGUGCUUUUUCUUUGGAACGAGGUAUCUGUUCCAGCCCUUCCUUCUCACCCUAUUUUCCCAGGUCGGAGAGACAGCCUGGCAUUCUGUUGGACCUCUGAAGCUGCCAGUCCACUGUGGGAAAAGUCCAGCUUGGGCGGAGAACAUGCUGUUUGUUUGCCAGGAGGUGGAAGAGCUGAGAAGCCGAACAAUGGAUGGCGAGAUAACUCAAAGAAUAGCAACAGCAGGAAGCCACUGAUACUUCUGAACUGGAACUCAACAGGGAAGAAGUGCUCUUUUACCAAAGUGCAGGAGGCACGAGGGUCAUCUGGUAGAAAACCACUGUGGGACUGUCUGGUGGGAGUUGGAGCCACAGAGGAGAUGCCAGAGACACUGCCCUAUGCAGAGAGGGAGGGGGAGAAAUACCCUGGGAAACAUGGCUCGCCAAGGGUCAAUCUCCUGGAAUCCAGAGCAGAGCAGCAGAGGGUGAGGGCUAGCCCGGGCGGGGAGUCCCAUGUGGAUGUGUGUGGAAGGGAGUUCAGAAUCAAGUCUUGCUGCGUGUGGACCUUGUGUCUUCAGUGCCAGGGAUGACUCCUGGCUGCCAUGAAAUCUACCAGUAGCAGCACCUCCUGUCAUAAAAUAGUCUGGUAGAGUGUAAUGGUUAAGAUGUACAGUAGAGUUCUUGCUAGGAAUGUGGGGCAUAUGAAUGUAUGCAUUUUUUCAAAACUCAUUGAACUAUAAUCUUUAAGUUAUACCUCAAUAAAAUAUACAAAUACAGAAAGAGUAUUAGGCUCUGGAGCCAUACUGUCUGUAUUUGCUACUAACUAGCUCUUAUGGACUGAAUUGUGUCCUCCCCCCACUCUCCCCCCACCCCCAAAUUCCUUGUUGAGGUCCUAACUCUCAGUGUGACUGUAUUUGGAUAUGGGGCCUCUAAGAAGGUAAUUAAGGUUAAAUGAAGUCAUAGGGUGGGGCCCUCACCUGAUAGGACUGUGUCUUCAUAAGAUGAGGAAGAUAAACCAGAGAUCUCUCUCUCUGCGUGUGUACCGAAUUAAAGGCCAUGUGAGGACACAGCAGGAAGGCAGCAAUCUGCAAGCCAGGAAAAGAGGCUUCACCAGAAAUCAACCUUGCCAGCACCUUGAUCUUGGACUUUGAGACUCCAGAAGGCUGAGAAAAUAAAUUUCUGUUCUUAACAUCA
This is a long non-coding RNA of Lagenorhynchus albirostris (white-beaked dolphin), 1199 nucleotides long. RefSeq lists it as uncharacterized. The transcript is spliced from 2 exons. NCBI's taxonomy places the organism in Eukaryota, Metazoa, Chordata, Mammalia, Artiodactyla, Delphinidae. The record is from RefSeq and is a predicted model, not a curated record.